CCUACGGGAGGCAGCAGUCGGGAAUUUUGCGCAAUGGACGAAAGUCUGACGCAGCAACGCCGCGUGAGGGAUGAAGGCCUUCGGGUUGUAAACCUCUUUUCUCAGGGACGAUAAUGACGGUACCUGAGGAAGAAGCCACGGCUAACUACGUGCCAGCAGCCGCGGUAAUACGUAGGUGGCAAGCGUUGUCCGGAUUUACUGGGCGUAAAGAGCGCGCAGGCGGUCGUACAAGUCGCGUGUGAAAGCCCCCGGCUCAACUGGGGAGGGUCACGCGAUACUGUUCGACUCGAAGGCAGGAGAGGGAAGUGGAAUUCCCGGUGUAGUGGUGAAAUGCGUAGAUAUCGGGAGGAACACCAGUGGCGAAGGCGACUUCCUGGCCUGUUCUUGACGCUGAGGCGCGAAAGCUAGGGUAGCAAACGGGAUUAGAUACCCCUGUAGU
This 439-nucleotide ribosomal RNA is filed under the name uncultured Nonomuraea sp. Its description in RNAcentral is "bacterial SSU rRNA". It matches the Rfam family "Bacterial small subunit ribosomal RNA", at positions 338 to 794 of the family's 1533-position model. Lineage: Bacteria; Bacillati; Actinomycetota; Actinomycetes; Streptosporangiales; Streptosporangiaceae. The record is from RNAcentral.